RNAcentral lists this long non-coding RNA (4500 nucleotides) under Capsella rubella. Its description in RNAcentral is "long non-coding RNA (CRUB_LNC002673)". The record is from RNAcentral. Lineage: Eukaryota; Viridiplantae; Streptophyta; Magnoliopsida; Brassicales; Brassicaceae.
AUAAACUAGAUUUAAGAGGAGAACAAGUAUAAUUCCCUGUAUGAAGUGAGAGAUUGUUAUAAUAGACAGAAAGUACCUAAAAAGGAUCUCACAGGUCAGGUUAUCCACUUCGAAGUUCACUUAGCAAAGAUCUCUCCACGACAAUCACCAUAGCAAGGAGAGAACCAACUUUGUGUAAAAUCUCUAGUGGAGGGAAAAAAAAUACAUCUCAUGAGGCAACUCAUCUAGAGAACUCUGAUUCUUAUAGAACCUGCAUAUCACUCCUAGAGAGAAAUAUCCUUUUUAAUGAUAUUUAUACUCUCACCACCCUCCUGAUUACAUACCUUUUAACACUAUAAUCAUUUAUGUAGAAGAUGUAUCCUCUCCUCCAUUUAUACCUUCAAAAGAUCAAGUAGUGGGUGAGUUAAGGGAAGUGACGGUCCAAUACAAAACAUGUGUUGAGAGAGGAAGAGGUAGACGACCUAUAUUAAAACCUAACCCUAGACCUCCUUGAGAUUAGUGGGAGCCAAAUCUUAAAAAAAGAAACCUCAUUGUUGGUCUCUAAAGAGAAUUUAUGGACCAAUCUCAUAUAGGUAAGGGAAGGCAACUUCAGGACCAAGCAAGCAAAAGCCUUCCAAAGGAAAAUCUUAGUCUAUUGGGGAAGGGUCUACCUUAAGAAGUGACACUUCUUCCUAAGCUGGUACAAACAAACUUAAAAUAUAUGUAGUUCCUGCAAUAUAGUUCCAACUCCUUAAGAAUAGUGAGCUGGAACUGUUGUGGUUUGGGGGACUCCAUGAAAGUCUAGAGAUUCAAUAAAUUUAUAAGAACUUUUUCCGUGACUUACUGUUUUUCUUGAGAGGCUUUAGUGGAUGAAAUAUGCCUCUAAUCAUCUAGUUCCUCCUCUUUCACCAGGAGCUACAGGUUUGGCCCUUUUUUUUUUUUCUAGAAACAUCAUAUUGUAGAGGAAAUUAUCAAGUCCUGCAAAAACUUUAUUGAUAAGAGUAAAAGAAAACGGUAGAAAUGUUUUCUCCACCUUCUGAUAUGGGGACCCUGAAAAGGCAAAAAUAAUUUAGGCAAAGCAAAAAAAAACAGCUAAUACGUUAUAAACUUUUAAUUAUUUCACUUGUAUUCGCCAUAAAUUGCAAUUACUUUUUCCUAAAAUUAAGCCUCGAUUUAAUCAUCUUCGGCCGUUACUUUAUAUAUAUAAAAAUUCAAGUAGAGCCAAAAGUAACCUAAUUUAAUAUAUAUAUAUAUAUAUAUAUUGUAAUCAAGUAGCUAUUGUAACGUCUAAGAGAAGUGUUGAAUUCUAAACAAGUUGGGUAUUAGAUUUGGAAUAGUAAAUAGACUAGAUUUGUUUACUAGGAAAUUAUAAAAGAUCAUAUAUCAACAUAUCAAAAUCCAUUAAAAAUUAGUCAUGACGAUAAAUUUAGGAGAAAUAUGGCCAUAUGAAUUACCUUUUCUUGUAGUAGUAAAAAAUGACAAAAAUACAAAUAAUUUACAAAUACAAUUUCAAUUGUUGUAAUUAAAAUCAAUGACGAAUAAAUUAGAAAUCAUGACUUACUCUCUGCCUCAACGAUCGCAUUUUUGUCUGUACAUUGGUAGAUCUCUCCUAAAAGAAGUUAUUUUAAAAUUGCUUCGCAUACUCUAUCGUAGUGUAUGAUCAAGUGACUACCUUUAGGGACCUCAUGGUUUCUAAUACAUGGUAGUUGGUGGCACAAAUAUCCUUACAACUGAAACGACAUCACUUUGUCUUCAUAACCUUUCCAUAUUUGGAUAGAAGAAGAGCUCUUUUCGGGUCCAGAUGGAAACAAGUCAGGUAGGUCGGCCGGCUCAAAGUCCCAGUCGCCGAAGGCCACCAGAAAACCGCUUCUCACCAUCGCAAAGUAAGACAACAACUUAUAGAAUUAAUGAAAUAUAUCAAAAAAACUUUGAGAAUAUAGUAAUAUCUUACCAGACCUAGCCACUCCACCUCUCGCAGAAGUUCAAAGGAAAUCAUAAGAAACUACAACACUCCACAUAACACUUCACAACUCCUAAAAUAACCUCCUCCUUGCAAGGAAGAACUGUUAGCAAAUUUUCUUCCCAUGAAGUUACAACAAACCUGGAAAGGAAACUGGAUUUAAUAGGAGGAUAAGUAAAAUUCCCUGUAUGAAGCUAGAGAUUGUUAUAAUAGACGGGAAGUACCUAAAAUGGAUCUCACAGGUCAGGUUAUCCACCUCGGAGUUCACUUAGCAAAGAAAUCUCCACCCACAGUCACCAUAGCAAGGAGAGAACCAAAUUUGUGUAGAAUCUCUAGUGGAGGGAAAAAACUCCAUCUCAUGAGGCAACUCAUCUAGAGAACUCUGAUUCUUAUAGAACGUGCAUACCUCUCCUAGAGAGAAAUAUCCUUUUUAAUGAUAUUUAUACUCUCACCAGCCUCCUGAUUACAUACCUUUUAACACUAUAAUCAUUUAUGUAGAAGAUUUAUCCUCUCCUCCAUUUAUACCUUCAAAAGAUCAAGUAGUGGGUGAGUUAAGGGAAGUGACGGUCCAAUACAAAACAUGUGUUGAGAGAGGAAGAGGUAGACGCCCUAUAUUAAAACCUAACCCCUAGACCUCCUUGAGAUUAGUGGGAGCCAAAUCUUUAAAAAAAAGAAACCUCAUUGUUGGUCUCUAAAGAGAAUUUAUGGACCAAUAUCAUAUAGGUAAGGGAAGGCAACUUCAGGACCAAGCAAGCAAAAGCCUUCCAAAGGAAAAUCUUAGUCUAUUGGGGAAUAGUCUACCUUAAGAAGUGACACUUCUUCCUAAGCUGCUACAGACAAACAUAAAAUACCUUUAGUUACUGCAAUCUAGUUCCAACUCCUUAAGAAUAGUGCGCUGGAACUGUUGUGGUUUGGGGGACUCCAUAAAAGUUUAGAGAUUAAAUAAAUUCACAAGAAUUUUUUCCCUGACUUACUGUUUUUCUUGAGAGGCUUUAGUGGAUGAAAUAUGCCUCUAAUCAUCUAGUUCCUCCUCUUUCACCAGGAGCUACAGGUUUGGCCCUUUUUUUCUAGAAACAUCAUAUUGAAGAGGAAAUUAUCAAAUCCUGCAAAAACUUUAUUGAUAAGAGUAAAAGCAAAAGGUAGAAAUGUUUUCUCCACCUUCCAAUAUGGGGACCCUGAAAAGGCAAAAAUAAUUUAGACAAAGCCAAAAAAACAGCUAAUACGUUAUAAACUUUUAAUUAUUUCACUUGUAUUCGCCAUAAAUUGCAAUUGAUUUUUCCUAAAAUUAAGCCUCGAUUUAAUCAUCUUCGGCCGUUACUUUAUAUAUAUAAAAAAAUUCAAGUAGAGCCAAAGUGACCUAAUUCAAAAUAUAUUGUAAUCAAGUAGCUAUUGUAACGUCUAAGAGAAGCGUUGAAUUUCUAAACAAGUUGGGUAUUAGGUUUGGAAUAGUAAAUAUACUAGAUUUUUUUACUAGGAAAUUAUAAAAGAUCAUAUAUCAACAUAUCAAAAUCCAUUAAAAAUUAGUCAUGACGAUAAAUUUAGGAGAAAUAUGGCCAUAUGAAUUACCUUUUCUUGUAGUGGUAAAAAAUGACGAAAAUACAAAUAAUUUACAAAUACAAUUUCAAUUGUUGUAAUAAAAAUCAAUGAAUCAAGAAACAAUGACGAAUAAGUUAGAAAUCAUGACUUAUUCUCUAUCUGAACAAUCGCAUUUUGUUGUCUGUACAUUGGUAGAUCUCUCCUAAAAGAAGUUAUUUUAAAAUUGCUUCGCAUACUCUAUCGUAGUGUAUGAUCAAGUCACUACCUUUAGGGACCUCAUGGUUUCUAAUACAUGGUAGUUGGUGGCACAAAUAUCCUUACAACUGAAACGACAUCACUCUGUCUUCAUAACCUUUCCAUAUUUGAAUAGAAGAAGAGCCCUUUUCGGGUCCAGAUGGAAACAAGUCAGGUAGGUCGGCCGGCUCAAAGUCCCAGUCGCCGAAGGCCACCAAAAACCGCUUCUCACCAUCUCAAAGUAAGACAACAAUUUAUAGAAUUGAUGAAAUAUAUCAAAAAAGCUUUAAGAAUAUAGUAAUAUCUUACCAGACCUAGCCACUCCACCUCUCGCAGAAGUUCAAAGGAAAUCUCAAGAAACUACAACACUCCACAUAACACUUCACAACUCCUAAAAUAACCUCCCCCUUGCAAGGAAGAACUGUCAGCAAAUUUUCUUACCAUGAAGUUACAACAAACCUAGAAAGGAAACUGGAUUUAAGAGGAGGACAAGUAUAAUUCCCUGUAUGAAGUGAGAGAUUGUUAUAAUAGAUGGGAAGUACCUAAAAAGGAUCCCACAGGUCAGGUUAUCCACCUCGGAGUUUGCUUAGCAAAGAACUCUCCACCCACAGUCACCAUAGCAAGAGAGAACCAACUUUGUGUACGUAGAAUCUCUAGUGGAGAGAAGAAACUCCAUCUCAUGAGGAAACUCAUCUAGAGAACUCUGAUUCUUAUAGAACAUGCAUACUUCUCCUACAGAGAAAUAUCUUUUUAAUGAUAUUUCUACUCUCACCAGCCUCUUGAUUACAUAC